RNAcentral lists this ribosomal RNA (411 nucleotides) under uncultured bacterium. RNAcentral describes it as "bacterial SSU rRNA". It matches the Rfam family "Bacterial small subunit ribosomal RNA", at positions 64 to 507 of the family's 1533-position model. The record is from RNAcentral.
GAACGAGAAAGUGGAGCAAUCCAUGAGUACAGUGGCGUACGGGUGAGUAACACGUGACUAACCUACCCUCGAGUGGGGAAUAACCUCGGGAAACCGGGGCUAAUACCGCAUAACAUCUACGGAUCAAAUGCGUAAGCAGCUUGAGGAGGGGGUCGCGGCUGAUUAGCUAGUUGGCGGGGUAAUGGCCCACCAAGGCAGUGAUCAGUAGCCGGCUUGAGAGGGCGCACGGCCACACUGGAACUGAAACACGGUCCAGACUCCUACGGGAGGCAGCAGUGGGGAAUUUUGCGCAAUGGGGGAAACCCUGACGCAGCAACGCCGCGUGGAGGAUGAAGCCCCUUGGGGUGUAAACUCCUUUCGAUCGGGACGAUUAUGACGGUACCGGAUGAAGAAGCACCGGCUAACUCUGUG